CAUUACCACACCUAAAAAACUUUCCACGUGAACUGUUUGUACCAGAUUAGCGCCGUGACGUGCGAUUGUUGUUCUUUUUUGCUGCAUAUGUGGCGACAACGAUUGUGCGGACGCGGCUGAUCGAAGGUCGUGUGCGUGCUAGCGCGUGCUCGGCUGACUUAUCAUUUUCAAACCCCUUCUUACUUUAACAACUGAUCUUUACUGUGAGGACGAAAGUCUUUGCUUUUAAUCUAGAUAACAACUUUCAGCAGUGGAUGUCUAGGCUCGCACAUCGAUGAAGAACGCUGCGAACUGCGAUACGUAAUGCGAAUUGCAGAAUUCAGUGAGUCAUCGAAAUUUUGAACGCAUAUUGCACUUUCGGGUUAUACCUGGAAGUAUGUCUGUAUCAGUGUCCGUACAUCAACCUUGCCUCUCUUUGUCGGUGUAGUCCGUCCGAGAGCAUGUGCAGACGUGAGGUGUCUCGCUGCGUGUGUCUGACUUCUAUCAAGAAGUUCAUACGCGUGCUGCGAGUCCUUUUAAAACGACACGAUCUUUCUAUUUGCUUUCUACGGAGCGCGGAUCUCGAACGCGGCGGUCCUCGGAUCGCUCGCAGUCGACGGCGACUUCGGCGGAGACAUAUGGGAGAAACCACUAUUCGCGGUACGUUAGGCUUCGGCUGGACAAUGUUGCGUUCUAGUGUGUGGAUUCCGUCUUCGCUUUGAGGUGUACUGUUCGGUUGUGGGCUUGAACCUUGUGUGUCGCUUUGUUGUUAGUAGAGGUGCGCUGUCUCUGUGGUUUGAUUCCACAUGCAUUGUGUGGGUAGAUGGAUUCUAUUUGGGAAACAUUGUACUGCGCGCCUUCGGGUGUGUGUGUAUCUCAAUUGGACCUGAUAUCAGACAAGACUACCCGCUGAACUUAA
Molecule: ribosomal RNA, 898 nt
Filed under: Globisporangium segnitium
Lineage: Eukaryota; Oomycota; Peronosporomycetes; Pythiales; Pythiaceae
Description: eukaryotic LSU rRNA
Rfam family: 5.8S ribosomal RNA (bases 240-394)
Source: RNAcentral